RNAcentral lists this ribosomal RNA (401 nucleotides) under uncultured bacterium. RNAcentral's name for it is "bacterial SSU rRNA". It matches the Rfam family "Bacterial small subunit ribosomal RNA", at positions 30 to 436 of the family's 1533-position model. The record is from RNAcentral.
AUUGAACGCUGGCGGCAUGCCUUACUCAUGCAAGUCGAACGGUAACAGGUCUUCGGAUGCUGACGAGUGGCGAACGGGUGAGUAAUACAUCGGAACGUGCCCGAUCGUGGGGGAUAACGCAGCGAAAGCUGUGCUAAUACCGCAUACGAUCUGCGGAUGAAAGUGGGGGAUCGCAAGACCUCGCGCGGACGGAGCGGCCGAUGGCAGAUUAGGUAGUUGGUGGGAUAAAGCUUACCAAGCCGACGAUCUGUAGCUGGUCUGAGAGGACGACCAGCCACACUGGGACUGAGACACGGCCCAGACUCCUACGGGAGGCAGCAGUGGGGAAUUUUGGACAUGGGGGAACCCUGAUCCAGCCAUGCCGCGUGCAGGAUGAAGGCCUUCGGGUCGUAACUAGCUUU